GUGGCGCACGGGUGAGUAACGCGUAGACAUCUGCCCUUCAGUCUGGGACAACUUUUCGAAAGGAGAGCUAAUACCGGAUAACAAUGUUUGACAUAAGUUAAAUAUUUGAAAGCUUUAUGUGCUGAAGGAGGGGUCUGCGUCCCAUUAGCUAGUUGGUGAGGUAAAGGCUUACCAAGGCAACGAUGGGUAACGGGUUUGAGAGGACGAUCCGUCACACUGGAACUGAGACACGGUCCAGACUCCUACGGGAGGCAGCAGUGGGGAAUAUUGCACAAUGGAGGAAACUCUGAUGCAGCAAUGUCGCGUGAGUGAAGAAGGCCCUUGGGUCGUAAAGCUCUUUUAUGGGGGAAGAUGAUGACGGUACCCCAGGAAUAAGCACCGGCUAACUACGUGCCAGCAGCCGCGGUAAUACGUAGGGUGCGAGCGUUGUUCGGAAUUACUGGGCGUAAAGGGCGCGCAGGCGGAAUAGUAAGUCAGAGGUGAAAGCCCGGGGCUCAACCCCGGAGGGUCUUUCGAAACUGCUAAUCUAGAGAGGGUC
RNAcentral lists this ribosomal RNA (538 nucleotides) under uncultured delta proteobacterium. RNAcentral describes it as "bacterial SSU rRNA". It matches the Rfam family "Bacterial small subunit ribosomal RNA", at positions 95 to 652 of the family's 1533-position model. The record is from RNAcentral. Lineage: Bacteria; Deltaproteobacteria.